Molecule: long non-coding RNA, 2571 nt
Filed under: Sus scrofa (pig)
Lineage: Eukaryota; Metazoa; Chordata; Mammalia; Artiodactyla; Suidae
Description: lncRNA (ENSSSCG00025044698.1)
Source: RNAcentral
UUUUUUUUUUUUUUUUUUUUUUUUUUUGGCUUUUGGUCUUUGCUCUCCUGUAGUGUUAUUGCAAGGUUUUUGCCCAAUUAUCAGUAGAAUUGUCUGUCUUUUCCGUAUUCAUUUUGGGGACCUCUUUUGUAUUUAUAUCAGAGCUUUGACAAUUAUGGGUGUAUAAAUAUUUUCUCUAUCUUUGUCACUUGCUUUUUAACCUUUUAUGUGUAUUGUGUUGCUAUAAAAUUCUUAAUUUCUUUUUUUUUUUUUGUCUUUUUGUCCUUUUGUCUUUUUGUUGUUGUUGUUGUUGCUAUUUCUUGGGCCGCUCCCGCGGCAUAUGGAGCAGCCCAAGAAACGGCAAAAAGACAAAAAAAAAAAAAAAAUCAAAUUAAGAAACUAUCCUAUUAUUACUAGUUUACUAAGAAUUUUAUUAACACAACUAUAUGCUACAUUUUAUAAAACCCUGAUUCUGGAUAUGAUGUAAAAAUUUUACUAAGCACUUUCAUUCAACAUUUUUAGGUAAAAACAUCCUUCUUCUCUUUUAGCUCCUUAAUGUUAUAGAUUGUAUUGAUUUUCUAAUGUUCUGAUGUUGAACCAACCUUGCAUUCCUGGAUUAAGAUUUGACUGUGUUAUGCUCUUCAUAUACUGCUCCACUCAUUUUGCCAAUAUUUAGUAUAGGAUUUUGAUACGGACAUCCAUAAAAGAUUGGCUUAUGAUUUCAGUUCUUUAUACUUUUUUUGUCAGAUUUUGGUAUCAAUGCUGUGCUAGCUAUAUAAAAUGAAUUAAAGAAUAUAUAUACACCCCUUUUCUAUUUUCUUAAAGAAUCUCCAUAAAUGUGGAAUAAUUUAUUUCCAUAAUAUUUCCAGAAUAAUUUACCAGCAGAGGCACUGAGCUUAAUCUUGUUUUAUGAGAAAAUUUUUUAUUACGGUUCCAUGUAUGGUUUCAUAUUCAAAUUGUUUAUUUCUUCUUGCGUAAGUUUUCUAGGAGUUGGCCGAUAUUUCAAAACUUUUCUAAUGUACUUGUGUGAAAUAAUAUCAUAUUAUAUUAUAAUAAUAUCGAAAUGAUUCCUAGUGGGUUUCUUGGUAUUUAUAAACACCUAUGAAUCAUUAUAUACUGAUAACAGUAUCAAAUUGUUUGGCAGCACUUAGGAGUCAAUGUGAGACACAGCCCAUCUCUGUUUGAGGUUAACCUCUCUUUAAAAAAGGAAACUGAAGUUAGUUCACUCUCUGUGAACCAGCCUGAGAAGUACAGACCACACAGGAGUCCUUAGGAAAAGCUAUGAAAUGAAUACUGCUUUACCAGUCAGUGGUUGCUACUAUAGUACCUCACCUUUAAUAAAGCAUGCUGGUAUAGGGAAAGCUCCUUAUUACUCUCUACUUCUAAAUCUAUAAAUUAAACUCCAACAGAAAUUCUGACACAGAAUGUAAUAAAGACAAAAAGAAACCAAAAUUUGCUUUUAAAAGAAUAUCCCAUAUCUCAGAGGUGCACAUUAAAGGCACAUGUCUACCAACCCUCUUCUCUUGGUUUACUUUACACAGACAAUACAACGGAACAUGAACCUAGGUUUUGUGAAAUUUAGGGACACAGGUAACUUCUACAGCCACGUGGAAGGAAGGAAAAGUACCUCAAAACAACUAAAACUUCACAAAAUUCAGACUUGAGGUAAUGCCAAGUAUGAUUAUAUGGUUGCAGUUUAUCAGGUUCAAAGAAAUACAAACAUCUAUGAUUAUAGAGAAUCCUCAUAUGGUGCUAGAUGAGGGAAUUUAGAUGCUGCUGGAACAUCCAAAGGUUUAUUCUCAUAUCCCUAAAUUAGAGACAUUUGGUCUACUUGAGGCUCCAAGAGCCAAAUGGAGCCAGGGUCCUGGACACAAAGAUCACCUGGAGCAUUACAACAUGGAAACACCACUCAUGGUGUCCUCUUCUUUCCAUACACAACCUUCCCAUCCAGUCUACCUUGGAUUAGGCACAGGCAUUAAAGUGGGAGCUGGGAAGAUAGGAGAUGUGAAGAGAUAAAAUGUAAUGGAAAGACUACUUGGUCUGCCAUGGCUAUAAGCUAGUCACAUCAUCUCCAAACAGGGCUAAUUUAGCAUCUCACCCAAAUAACUGACCUGUGACAUCCAGGUGGAAGGAGACCUUCUGGCCCCCAGCUUUGCAGGUGUAUUCCCCAGCAUCUGCCUUGCCCGCCUGAUGCACCAUCAGCCUCCGGGUGCAGCCCUUGGCCUCCACAUGCACUUUUGAGCUAGAAGUUAGCUUCUUCCCAUCCUUGUACCAUGUCACCUCUGUCUGGGCCUGGGCCACCUCACAGCUCAGAGUGGCACUGGCCCCUGCCAUGGCCUGCACUUCACUGCAUGCCGGCUGCUCCUUGGCAAACACUUCCAUGGGCUCUGGGGACAAGCAGGGAUACACAGGGUCAAAGAUACUAAAUAAGUCUAAGAUGAAGCACUGGGGAAGAAAGAUUAAAUGGUGAAGCAGAGGACUGGAAAUUUCUCUAGACCCUGGCUACUUGUCUGGCUUGGAAAAAGCCACCUCCUCAGCAAGUAACCAUAAUUUAUCUAUACGUUCUAUCACUGAUCCAUGUGUGUUGUUACA